This is a long non-coding RNA of Helianthus annuus (common sunflower), 374 nucleotides long. RefSeq lists it as uncharacterized. The record is from RefSeq and is a predicted model, not a curated record. The transcript is spliced from 3 exons. NCBI's taxonomy places the organism in Eukaryota, Viridiplantae, Streptophyta, Magnoliopsida, Asterales, Asteraceae.
UCGAUCAGAGCAGGAGAAGAAAAAGGGGAAAACCCCUAAUUAUCACAAAUUCAGCAAAUUAAAGCCCUAGAUGUGAUUUUGAGUCCAUGCAUGUCUCAAUUUUCUGAUCAUCUAUGCAUUCUUGAACACAAGGUGUAGCAAGGCUUGGAAGACAACAUGGAAAACAAGUGGAAAUGGUGACGACUUUCUUACGGGCUAAGGUAUGCUAUGGUAGUCCAUCGUGAAGUUUUGAGGAACUGGAAUGCAAGAUUGUACUCGGAAGGAUAAUCAAAAAGUCUGGCACACGUAGAAAGAUUGCGGCGUGAUCAAUUAAUUAUGUAUGAUAGAUUAUGAAUGUAGAUUAUCAAAUUUUAAUGAUGUGCAUGUUGUGGUGA